CGUGUAGGCGGUUGGUCAAGUCGGUUGUGAAAGCCCGAGGCUCAGCCUCGGAAGUGCAUCCGAAACUAGCCAGCUAGAGCGCGAUAGAGGAGGGUGGAAUUCCUGGUGUAGCGGUGGAAUGCGUAGAUAUCAGGAGGAACACCGGCGGCGAAGGCGGCCCUCUGGGUCGUUGCUGACGCUGAGACGCGAAAGCGUGGGGAGCAAACAGGAUUAGAUACCCUGGUAGUCCACGCCUUAAACGAUGGGUACUAGGUGUUCGGGGUGUUGACCCCCUGAGUGCCGCAGUUAACGCAUUAAGUACCCCGCCUGGGGACUACGGCCGCAAGGUUAAA
This 332-nucleotide ribosomal RNA is filed under the name uncultured bacterium. RNAcentral's name for it is "bacterial SSU rRNA". It matches the Rfam family "Bacterial small subunit ribosomal RNA", at positions 568 to 898 of the family's 1533-position model. The record is from RNAcentral.